Molecule: ribosomal RNA, 308 nt
Filed under: unidentified marine eubacterium
Lineage: Bacteria
Description: bacterial SSU rRNA
Rfam family: Bacterial small subunit ribosomal RNA
Source: RNAcentral
GAGAUGUUGGGUUAAGUCCCGCAACGAGCGCAACCCUCGCCUUAGUUACCAUCAUUAAGUUGGGUACUCUAGGGGACUGCCGGUGACAAGCCGGAGGAAGGUGGGGAUGACGUCAAGUCAUCAUCCGGUUACGGGCUGGGCUACACACGUGCUACAAUGGCGGUGACAGUGGGCAGCGAUGGGGCGACCCUGAGCUAAUCUCCAAAAACCGUCUCAGUUCGGAUUGUUCUCUGCAACUCGAGAGCAUGAAGUCGGAAUCGCUAGUAAUCGCGUAUCAGCAUGACGCGGUGAAUACGUUCCCGGGCCUU